GCAAGCCGAGCGGUAGAGAUCUUUCGGGAUCUUGAGAGCGGCGUACGGGUGCGGAACACGUGUGCAACCUGCCUUUAUCUGGGGGAUAGCCUUUCGAAAGGAAGAUUAAUACCCCAUAAUAUACUGAAUGGCAUCAUUCGGUAUUGAAAACUCCGGUGGAUAGAGAUGGGCACGCGCAAGAUUAGAUAGUUGGUGAGGUAACGGCUCACCAAGUCUGCGAUCUUUAGGGGGCCUGAGAGGGUGAUCCCCCACACUGGUACUGAGACACGGACCAGACUCCUACGGGAGGCAGCAGUGAGGAAUAUUGGACAAUGGGUGAGAGCCUGAUCCAGCCAUCCCGCGUGAAGGACGACGGCCCUAUGGGUUGUAAACUUCUUUUGUAUAGGGAUAAACCUACCCUCGUGAGGGUAGCUGAAGGUACUAUACGAAUAAGCACCGGCUAACUCCGUGCCAGCAGCCGCGGUAAUACGGAGGGUGCAAGCGUUAUCCGGAUUUAUUGGGUUUAAAGGGUCCGUAGGCGGAUCUGUAAGUCAGUGGUGAAAUCUCACAGCUUAACUGUGAAACUGCCAUUGAUACUGCAGGUCUUGAGUGUUGUUGAAGUAGCUGGAAUAAGUAGUGUAGCGGUGAAAUGCAUAGAUAUUACUUAGAACACCAAUUGCGAAGGCAGGUUACUAAGCAACAACUGACGCUGAUGGACGAAAGCGUGGGGAGCGAACAGGAUUAGAUACCCUGGUAGUCCACGCCGUAAACGAUGCUAACUCGUUUUUGGAAUGUAAGUUUCAGAGACUAAGCGAAAGUGAUAAGUUAGCCACCUGGGGAGUACGAACGCAAGUUUGAAACUCAAAGGAAUUGACGGGGGCCCGCACAAGCGGUGGAUUAUGUGGUUUAAUUCGAUGAUACGCGAGGAACCUUACCAAGGCUUAAAUGGGAAAUGACAGGUUUAGAAAUAGACUUUUCUUCGGACAUUUUUCAAGGUGCUGCAUGGUUGUCGUCAGCUCGUGCCGUGAGGUGUUAGGUUAAGUCCUGCAACGAGCGCAACCCCUGUCACUAGUUGCCAUCAUUAAGUUGGGGACUCUAGUGAGACCGCCUACGCAAGUAGAGAGGAAGGUGGGGAUGACGUCAAAUCAUCACGGCCCUUACGCCUUGGGCCACACACGUAAUACAAUGGCCGGUACAGAGGGCAGCUACACUGCGAAGUGAUGCAAAUCUCGAAAGCCGGUCUCAGUUCGGAUUGGAGUCUGCAACUCGACUCUAUGAAGCUGGAAUCGCUAGUAAUCGCGCAUCAGCCAUGGCGCGGUGAAUACGUUCCCGGGCCUUGUACACACCGCCCGUCAAGCCAUGGAAGUCUGGGGUACC
This 1356-nucleotide ribosomal RNA is filed under the name Chryseobacterium cucumeris. Its description in RNAcentral is "bacterial SSU rRNA". It matches the Rfam family "Bacterial small subunit ribosomal RNA", at positions 57 to 1421 of the family's 1533-position model. Lineage: Bacteria; Pseudomonadati; Bacteroidota; Flavobacteriia; Flavobacteriales; Weeksellaceae. The record is from RNAcentral.